CCAAUACUCUAGCAGAUCAUGUUCCACAUUUAGGUGAGGCUUGCACCUUCUGUGUAUGUAGAAGAUACUCUAGUAUAAUUGUUACAGCAAGUUCAUGUGCAAAUGAUUCAACAGAUUCUGUUAUUAUUAGCAUGACUGAGUCAGAUAAAUAAGAAAGUGUGAAUAACGUCACAAUAUCUAUACAAACAUCUUACAUGACUUUUGAAAAUAAC
Molecule: long non-coding RNA, 212 nt
Filed under: Mytilus galloprovincialis (Mediterranean mussel)
Lineage: Eukaryota; Metazoa; Mollusca; Bivalvia; Mytilida; Mytilidae
Source: RNAcentral